This 478-nucleotide ribosomal RNA is filed under the name uncultured bacterium. RNAcentral describes it as "partial 16S ribosomal RNA". It matches the Rfam family "Bacterial small subunit ribosomal RNA", at positions 28 to 523 of the family's 1533-position model. The record is from RNAcentral.
GACGAACGCUGGCGGCGUGCUCAACACAUGCAAGUCGAACGGUAAGGCCCUUCGGGGUACACGAGUGGCGAACGGGUGAGUAACACGUGGGUGAUCUGCCCUGCACUUCGGGAUAAGCCUGGGAAACUGGGUCUAAUACCGGAUAGGACCACUGCCUGCAUGGGCGGGGGUGGAAAGCUUUUGCGGUGUGGGAUGGGCCCGCGGCCUAUCAGCUUGUUGGUGGGGUGAUGGCCUACCAAGGCGACGACGGGUAGCCGGCCUGAGAGGGUGACCAGCCACACUGGGACGGAGAGACGGCCCAGGGUCCUACGGGAGGGAGCAGUGGGGACUAUUGCACAAUGGGCGCAAGCCUGAUGCAGCGACGCCGGGUGAGGGAUGACGGCCUUCGGGUUGUAAACCUCUUUCAGCACCGACGAAGCGCAAGUGACGGUAGGUGCAGAAGAAGGACCGGCCAACUACGUGCCAGCAGCCGCAGUAA